GAGGGUAUAGCUCAGUGGUAGAGCACGUGCUUAGCAUGCAUGAGGUCCUGGGUUCAAUCCCCUGUCUCUCCA
This 72-nucleotide transfer RNA is filed under the name Camelus bactrianus (Bactrian camel). It matches the Rfam family "tRNA". Rfam says of the family: Transfer RNA (tRNA) molecules are approximately 80 nucleotides in length. Their secondary structure includes four short double-helical elements and three loops (D, anti-codon, and T loops). RNAcentral also lists the same sequence under 2 other names. Lineage: Eukaryota; Metazoa; Chordata; Mammalia; Artiodactyla; Camelidae. The record is from Rfam by way of RNAcentral.